RNAcentral lists this ribosomal RNA (254 nucleotides) under uncultured bacterium. RNAcentral's name for it is "partial 16S ribosomal RNA". It matches the Rfam family "Bacterial small subunit ribosomal RNA", at positions 524 to 776 of the family's 1533-position model. The record is from RNAcentral.
UACGUAGGGCGCAAGCGUUGUCCGGAAUUAUUGGGCGUAAAGAGCUCGUAGGCGGCUUGUCGCGUCGGUCGUGAAAACUUUCAGCUUAACUGGGAGCUUGCGGUCGAUACGGGCAUCACUGGAGUUCGGCAGGGGAGACUGGAAUUCCUGGUGUAGCGGUGAAAUGCGCAGAUAUCAGGAGGAACACCGGUGGCGAAGGCGGGUCUCUGGGCCGAUACUGACGCUGAGGAGCGAAAGCGUGGGGAGCGAACAGG